This 252-nucleotide ribosomal RNA is filed under the name uncultured bacterium. RNAcentral describes it as "partial 16S ribosomal RNA". It matches the Rfam family "Bacterial small subunit ribosomal RNA", at positions 524 to 776 of the family's 1533-position model. The record is from RNAcentral.
UACGUAGGGUGCAAGCGUGUCCGGAAUUAUUGGGCGUAAAGAGCUCGUAGGCGGUCUGUCGCGUCUGCUGUGAAAACUCGGGGCUUAACCCCGGGCCUGCAGUGGGUACGGGCAGACUAGAGUGCGGUAGGGGAGACUGGAAUUCCUGGUGUAGCGGUGAAAUGCGCAGAUAUCAGGAGGAACACCGGUGGCGAAGGCGGGUCUCUGGGCCGUAACUGACGCUGAGGAGCGAAAGCAUGGGGAGCGAACAGG